RNAcentral lists this ribosomal RNA (293 nucleotides) under Triticum aestivum (bread wheat). RNAcentral's name for it is "partial small subunit ribosomal RNA". Lineage: Eukaryota; Viridiplantae; Streptophyta; Magnoliopsida; Poales; Poaceae. The record is from RNAcentral.
UUAAAAUUCUAGUGCAAAAUCGCAAUUAUUUUUUGGAAACAGGCUCUUGAGGCGAAUUGAAAUCAUUUAGUUUUCGAACUCAAAAUGAAAAUGUUGGAAGAAAAGAAAACAUUAUAUCUAAUGUACUCCCUCCGAUCCAUAUUAAUUGUUGCUGGUUUAGUAUAACUUUGUAUCAUGUUAAUUAUCUGCUCCUAGUGUCAUGCCAAAAGUUUCACUUAUGUUUUCUUGUGCACUCAGCCCAAGUGUGUUCACAAAUAGACUUACAACAGUCAGUUCAACCAAAUAGAAAGAAA